RNAcentral lists this ribosomal RNA (427 nucleotides) under uncultured bacterium. RNAcentral describes it as "bacterial SSU rRNA". It matches the Rfam family "Bacterial small subunit ribosomal RNA", at positions 355 to 775 of the family's 1533-position model. The record is from RNAcentral.
UGAGGAAUUUUGCGCAAUGGGCGAAAGCCUGACGCAGCGACGCCGCGUGGGCGAUGAAGCUCUUUGGAGUGUAAAGCCCUGUCAGGUGGGACGAAACCGUCUGGGCAAACAGUCCGGACGCUGACGGUACCACCAGAGGAAGCCCCGGCUAACUCUGUGCCAGCAGCCGCGGUAAUACAGAGGGGGCUAGCGUUGUUCGGAAUCACUGGGUGUAAAGGGUGCGUAGGCGGUCCGUUAAGUCUGAUGUGAAAGCCCUGGGCUCAACUCAGGAAUGGCAUUGGAAACUGGCGGGCUGGAGUACUGGAGAGGGAAGCGGAAUUCCUGGUGUAGCGGUGAAAUGCGUAGAUACCAGGAGGAACACCGGUGGCGAAGGCGGCUUCCUGGCCAAGUACUGACGCUGAGGCACGAAAGCGUGGGGAGCGAACGG